RNAcentral lists this ribosomal RNA (440 nucleotides) under uncultured bacterium. Its description in RNAcentral is "partial 16S ribosomal RNA". It matches the Rfam family "Bacterial small subunit ribosomal RNA", at positions 338 to 795 of the family's 1533-position model. The record is from RNAcentral.
GCUACGGGAGGCAGCAGUAGGGAAUAUUGCUCAAUGGGGGAAACCCUGAAGCAGCAACGCCGCGUGAAGGAUGAAGGUUUUCGGAUUGGAAACUCCUUUUGUUAGAGAAGAUAAUGACGGUAUCUAACGAAUAAGCACCGGCUAACUCCGUGCCAGCUGCCGAGGUAAUACGGAGGGUGCAAUCGUUACUCGGAAUAACUGGGCGUACAGAGCGCGUAGGCGGGAUAGCAAGUCAGAUGUGAAAUCCUAUGGCUUAACCAUAGAACUGCAUUUGAAACUGUUAUUCUAGAGUAUGGGAGAGGUAGGUGGAAUGCGUGGUGGAGGGGUAAAAUCCGUAGAGAUCAAGAGGAAUACUUAUUGCGAAGGCGACCUGCGAGAAUAUAACUGACGCUGAUGCGCGAAAGCGUGGGGAGCAAACAGGAUUAGAUACCCCAGUAGUC